RNAcentral lists this ribosomal RNA (253 nucleotides) under uncultured bacterium. RNAcentral describes it as "partial 16S ribosomal RNA". It matches the Rfam family "Bacterial small subunit ribosomal RNA", at positions 524 to 776 of the family's 1533-position model. The record is from RNAcentral.
UACGAAGGGGGCUAGCGUUGCUCGGAAUCACUGGGCGUAAAGCGCACGUAGGCGGCUUUUUAAGUCAGGGGUGUAAUCCUGGAGCUCAACUCCAGAACUGCCUUUGAUACUGAGAAGCUCGAGUCCGGGAGAGGUGAGUGGAAUUCCGGGUGUAGUGGUGAAAUGCGUAGAGAUCCGGAGGAACACCAGUGGCGAAGGCGGGUCUCUGGGCCGUAACUGACGCUGAGGAGCGAAAGCGUGGGGAGCGAACAGG